AACGCACAUUGCGCCUCCUUUUACCGGGAGGCAUGCCUGUCUGAGCGUCAUUUAAACCAAUAAAGCCCUUCUGGGUUUUGUGUUGGGCCCCGCACGUUUGUGCGCCGCCUCAAAGUCAUCGGCCUGGACUGUGGACGAGCUCCUCUUGGACUUACCAUGGUGAAGGGCGACCUCUGGCUUUAUGCCUCUUGAACUCUUGACCUCAGAUCAGGUAGGAAGACCGCCUGAACUUAA
This 234-nucleotide unclassified non-coding RNA is filed under the name uncultured fungus. Its description in RNAcentral is "sequence contains ITS2". Lineage: Eukaryota; Fungi. The record is from RNAcentral.